Passer domesticus (house sparrow) is the source of this 416-nucleotide long non-coding RNA. RefSeq lists it as uncharacterized. The transcript has 3 exons. Lineage: Eukaryota; Metazoa; Chordata; Aves; Passeriformes; Passeridae. The record is from RefSeq and is a predicted model, not a curated record.
CAACCCAUUGUGGAGUCGCAGGACAGGCGGAGAUGCCUCAGGACCCCACCGGAACUCCACCAGGACUCUGUCGGGACCUGGCUAGGACCUGGUGUGCCCCACGCAGCGUGCUCGUAAACCACACACCUUCUUUUCCUGCAGAGAGCAAUGGACUAUAGUAGAACCCUGAGAUAACCAGGACUUCAAGAUCUUCCCAAUGUAACGGCAGAUCCUUGGCCGGACUGCAAAGGACUUUGUCUCUACAUUUGGUCAAGAUUAAAAAGAAAAGAAACAAGUCCAUUAUCAUCACAAGUGUAAUGGUGAUUAUACAAGUACACUGUGAAUGCAAGGUAUUUGGAAAAUGGUGGUGUUUCUCAGGCUACCUAACAACAGCACUACCCAAUCAUUCAUACUAAUAAAAGUAUUAAAAAAGAUUA